This 73-nucleotide transfer RNA is filed under the name Escherichia coli. RNAcentral describes it as "tRNA-Trp". It matches the Rfam family "tRNA". Rfam says of the family: Transfer RNA (tRNA) molecules are approximately 80 nucleotides in length. Lineage: Bacteria; Pseudomonadati; Pseudomonadota; Gammaproteobacteria; Enterobacterales; Enterobacteriaceae. RNAcentral also lists the same sequence under 4 other names. The record is from RNAcentral.
AGGGGUGUAGCACAACUGGUGGUGCAGCGGUCUCCAAAACCGAAGGUUAGAAGUUCGAGUCUUCUCAUCCCUG